This 133-nucleotide ribosomal RNA is filed under the name uncultured bacterium. Its description in RNAcentral is "partial 16S ribosomal RNA". The record is from RNAcentral.
UCGGGAAACCGGGGCUAAUACCGCAUAAUAUCUUUGGGAUGAAAAGCCGAAGAAUCAAAGGAGCAAAUUCGGCUGGAAGAGGGAGUCGCGGUGAUUAGCUAGUUGGCGGGGUAUGGCCACAAGCUUGAUCGGU